CAACCCUUAUUGCUAGUUACCAUCAUUAAGUUGGGGACUCUAGCGAGACUGCCAGUGAUAAACUGGAGGAAGUGGGGAUGACGUCAAAUCAUCAUGCCCCUUAUGACCUGGGCUACAAACGUGAUACAAUGGCUGAACAAAGGGCAGCGAAGGAGCGAUCUGGAGCGAAACCCAAAAAGCAGUCUCAGUUCGGAUUGAAGUCUGCAACUCGACUUCAUGAAGUCGGAAUCGCUAGUAAUCGCGGAUCAGAACGCCGCGGUGAAUACGUUCUCGGGGUUU
RNAcentral lists this ribosomal RNA (279 nucleotides) under uncultured Acholeplasma sp. RNAcentral's name for it is "partial 16S ribosomal RNA". It matches the Rfam family "Bacterial small subunit ribosomal RNA", at positions 1099 to 1382 of the family's 1533-position model. Lineage: Bacteria; Bacillati; Mycoplasmatota; Mollicutes; Acholeplasmatales; Acholeplasmataceae. The record is from RNAcentral.